GAAGAUUUGGAUUGAUCUAAACCAUGCUAGUCAUUGUAGUAAUACAAGGCAGACGGAUCAGUAACGCCUCCUUUCCAAACCUAUGGACGGGAAUAACCUCGGCAAACUGACUAUAAUGACCGAUAGAACAUUAUGCCUGGAAUGGUUUAUGUUCCAAAUGAUUUAUCGCCGCAGGAUGAUACUGCUGCCUAUCAUUUUGUUGACGAGGGAAUGACCCCCCACCACGACUAUAAGCGCUGCGUCUUAGAAGAGUAAGACCCCAGAGACUACUGCAGAGACAAGACACCGCCUCUGGGGCGCAUCAUAUCAGAAAACUUUGCUGUGUGCGAAAGGGCGACUAGGAUAAUACCAGUGGUUUCUGAUAAAGGAACCUUUUGCUUUGCCUAGAAACACCGAUGAAUCAGGGGUGAUCUGGUUUCCGGUGUCUUCCGCCGCCGUCAAUACAGCAGCUCAACCGCCUGAUGAUGAUUAAUUAUGCUAAAAGAUCCGGAGGCUGAUCCGUUAGUUUUCCGUUAAAUUUGCACGCUCCACAUAGCGGGUGCCUUUAAUUUUGCUCAGUUGAUUUGUGGCAGAGGUAGACGGUUCUCCGUACGAAGGUGCAAAAUCCUUUGCUCUUUUGAUGACCCACUGUGGGGUAGGCGGGCUCCCCACACACUCCGACGGGGAGGGAUGAAUGCUGGGGGAGCGAACCGUCGUACAUAACCUGGGGGUUCCGACUUUAAACUAUGCAAACCCCCGUGAUGCAUGAGUUGUGCCUCGUGUCAUGCUGCAAGAAAGCCGC
This 781-nucleotide ribosomal RNA is filed under the name uncultured marine archaeon. RNAcentral's name for it is "bacterial SSU rRNA". It matches the Rfam family "Archaeal small subunit ribosomal RNA", at positions 26 to 815 of the family's 1478-position model. The record is from RNAcentral.